RNAcentral lists this ribosomal RNA (419 nucleotides) under uncultured crenarchaeote. Its description in RNAcentral is "bacterial SSU rRNA". It matches the Rfam family "Archaeal small subunit ribosomal RNA", at positions 913 to 1338 of the family's 1478-position model. The record is from RNAcentral. Lineage: Archaea; Thermoproteati; Thermoproteota.
CAACGCCGGAAAUCUCACCGGGAGCGACAGCAGUGUGAAGGCCAGAUUAAAGGUCUUGCCAGACGAGCUGAGAGGAGGUGCAUGGCCGUCGCCAGUUCGUGCCGUGAGGUGUCCUGUUAAGUCAGGCAACGAUCGAGACCCGCGUCCUCUGUUGCAACCAGUUUUGAGCUGGGCACACUGAGGAGACCGCCACUGAUAAAGUGGAGGAAGGAGCGGGCCACGGCAGGUCAGUAUGCCCCGAAUCUCCCGGGCCACACGCGAGCUGCAAUGGCAGGUACAAUGGGUUCCGACCUCGAAAGGGGAAGGCAAUCUCGAAAGCCUGCCGUAGUUGGGAUCGAGGGUUGUAACCCACCCUCGUGAACAUGGAAUCCCUAGUAAUCGCGUGUCAUUAGCGCGCGGUGAAUACGUUCCCGGGCCUU